Molecule: transfer RNA, 94 nt
Organism: Fomitopsis pinicola
Lineage: Eukaryota; Fungi; Basidiomycota; Agaricomycetes; Polyporales; Fomitopsidaceae
Rfam family: tRNA
About the family: Transfer RNA (tRNA) molecules are approximately 80 nucleotides in length. Their secondary structure includes four short double-helical elements and three loops (D, anti-codon, and T loops). Further hydrogen bonds mediate the characteristic L-shaped molecular structure. tRNAs have two regions of fundamental functional importance: the anti-codon, which is responsible for specific mRNA codon recognition, and the 3' end, to which the tRNAs corresponding amino acid is attached (by aminoacyl-tRNA synthetases). tRNAs cope with the degeneracy of the genetic code in two manners: having more than one tRNA (with a specific anti-codon) for a particular amino acid; and 'wobble' base-pairing, i.e. permitting non-standard base-pairing at the 3rd anti-codon position.
Source: Rfam
GGCACUAUGGCCGAGUGGUUAAGGCGACAGAUUCGAAUUAUGUAAUCUUAUCUGUUUCGCGUUGCGAGCGCAGGUUCAAGUCCUGCUGGUGUCG